RNAcentral lists this long non-coding RNA (783 nucleotides) under Rattus norvegicus (Norway rat). Its description in RNAcentral is "long non-coding RNA NONRATT016135". The record is from RNAcentral. Lineage: Eukaryota; Metazoa; Chordata; Mammalia; Rodentia; Muridae.
GCCUCCUGGAGGUCCUGGCCGUCUCCCUACAAAUAGAUGAUGACCAGGGUCCAUGCUUGCAGUGGAGGUACCUUCUGUGUUCUAGCCUUGGUGAUCUUAGCAACUUUAAGCCUGUCAACAAUAUCUAAAUCUAAGAAUAUAGCAGUGUGGGAAGAUGGUCAUGGACCUUUAGAUGUCUCAGGAACUGAAAGUUCAGACGGAAACGUCUCACACCAUCCUGAUCCUGAUGAACUCAACGGCUGCGAUGAAUUCACCUGCUGCACCCAUUCCUUCCCAGCAAAUAGGAGAGAAAUUAAUUGCAGCUGUUAAGAACAUGACUGUUCCAGAAAAGUCUGUCCCCCCUUUUGGGAAAGUUUUGUUCAGAAUAGUAGUGACUCUUUUAGAAAGAUCAUGGACAAGUUCCAACAAGUUGAGCAAACUUAUCGAGAGUUAACGAGAAGGAAAAAGAGAAAUUAAUAUUGAGCAAGAAAUGAGAGAAAUUAUAGAAUGGUUACAAAAGUUUCCAUAUUAUCUUGAGGGGCCACAAACACAGAGUUUAAACUUUAUUAAAAUAAAGGUAAAUGUUGAAUGCAUACCUGGUGCCCACAGGUCUAGCAGUAUAACUGCAGUUUUCUAAACCAUUGUCUGCGGUUGAGAAUUGUUUCCUAGACUGUACGUUCAGCUUUCCUCUUUGAAAGGGACAUUUGGUGGGGUGAUGAAUAAGAGCUGGAUGAUUGACAAUUAUGAUGUACCUGUUCUAACUGCUUAAAUCUGUGCCAAGAAGUAAAGCUUUUAGCAGCAGCA